GGGCCGUUAGCUCAGUUGGUAGAGCAGCGGACUUUUAAUCCGUUGGUCACUGGUUCGAAUCCAGUACGGCCUACCA
Molecule: transfer RNA, 76 nt
Filed under: Paraburkholderia sp. HC6.4b
Lineage: Bacteria; Pseudomonadati; Pseudomonadota; Betaproteobacteria; Burkholderiales; Burkholderiaceae
Also listed under: 6 other names
Description: tRNA-Lys
Rfam family: tRNA
About the family: Transfer RNA (tRNA) molecules are approximately 80 nucleotides in length. Their secondary structure includes four short double-helical elements and three loops (D, anti-codon, and T loops).
Source: RNAcentral